UGGGAGAUCGUCUAACGGCAGGACAUCGGACUCUGACUCCGAGAAUGGAGGUUCGAAUCCUCCUCCCCCAGCCA
Molecule: transfer RNA, 74 nt
Filed under: Geotoga petraea
Lineage: Bacteria; Thermotogati; Thermotogota; Thermotogae; Petrotogales; Petrotogaceae
Description: tRNA_Gln_CTG
Rfam family: tRNA
About the family: Transfer RNA (tRNA) molecules are approximately 80 nucleotides in length. Their secondary structure includes four short double-helical elements and three loops (D, anti-codon, and T loops).
Source: RNAcentral